This is a long non-coding RNA of Peromyscus leucopus (white-footed mouse), 7493 nucleotides long. RefSeq lists it as uncharacterized. Lineage: Eukaryota; Metazoa; Chordata; Mammalia; Rodentia; Cricetidae. The record is from RefSeq and is a predicted model, not a curated record. The transcript has 2 exons.
ACCAUGCAAUACACUUUCACACACAAAAUUAAAAAUUAAUAAGUUUUAAAGAAUAAACACAAACAACCAAUAAGUAUGUGUGGAAAUCGUCAACAUUGUUAUCCACCAAAUGGAUGCAAACUAAAAGUAGAUUGCAUCCUACUCUAGUCAGAAUAGCUAGCAUCAAGAAAAAAAGAAACAAAAUCCAGGAAGAUUUGAGAAAUAUAGGGAAACAAGAAUCCUUAUUCCUGGAUAGUGGUAGUGAAAACUGAUACAGCCAGUAUGCAAAUAAGUAUAUCGAUUUCUCAUAAAACUAAAACUAGAAUUGUCAUAUUCCUCCACUAUACCCUCCCAUUACAGAGAUGCUUGUGCACCCAUGUUUAUUGCUGAGCUAGUCAAAAUACACAUGAAAGGAAAUUAGCCAACAUGCACGUGACACAUACACACAUUUAAGUUCUUUUCAGCCAUAAAUAAAAAUUAAAUUAUUAAUUUUCCAGAAAUAUGCUUGGAACUGGAUAACAUAUUAAUCGGGUUAACCCAGUCUCAGAAAGACAAAUACUGCAUGUCUUCUCUUCAAUGUAUUUUUUGCUUCUAAUUUAUUUUUAAAAAUGUGAUAAAGUGGGAGCAAAUGUGGAUAGAGAUCAAGAAAUGAGAAACAUGUCCUUAUUUAGGACAGGAAAGUUUUAAGGGAGAAGAGUGGAAUGUUAAUAGAAUGUAGGUGACAUAAAAUUGCAAAAAGAGACACUGGAGACAGAGGCAGACAGAGAAAUGAGAUAAGUAACCAUCCAUGAAAAUACUAUAAAGAAAUCCGUUACUUUGUAUACUAACUUAAGAAAAAGAAUAUGUGUAAAAUAAUUUUAAAAUAUGGAUAUCAAGACUUCAGCCCUUAGGGACUCAAAUUUAAUUGUUUCAAGCAUCCAACUUCACUUAAAGCAAAACUCUGACACUGAAAUUUUUAUACUAAUGAGCUGAAAACUGUGCCCUUCAAUCUCACUAUGCAGCCAAGGUUGAGAAUCAAUGAUGUAAUCUAGUCCCAUCCUAAUUUUAAUUUUGUAUUCUGGAAGAUGUAAUGGUAAGAAUUCCCACAGGUGUGGUUGAAUUUUUCAAGGUGAUGACUGGUGCAUAGUAAAAAACCCCAUAUAUGAUCCAAUGUGUUCACAUAGGGAACAGGAAUACUAUGCCACUGUUGAUAAUACUUUCCUAUGACUAUUCAUAGACCCCACUUAUCUAUCCAUUUAUUCAUGGAUAAUUAUUAUCCAAUAAAUUAUCUGAAUAUGAUUUUGGUCAUUUGUUGUGGUGGGUUUUAAAUAGAAUGUACUAACAAACUUAAAAUAUCCUCUUUAGAGGAUUUACAUUGCAAUGCAGGUCAUGAAAAUAAAGGAAUAUAGAAUCAGACACAAAAUAAUUACGGAGUAAGUAUGACUCUGAAAUACUAAUCAAAUAAUGCCUACUUCUUGAGAAGUGAUAGGGAGUCCUUUCUGUGAUGACAUUCAUGUAGAUCAUGGAUGAAGGUGGAAACUACACACACAUCAGAGAAAACUGGAGCCUGACUGGUAAGAAAAAAUUGCAUAGAGACGCCAGCAUUGAGUUAUCAAUGUGUCCAAUGUGUACUUCCUCAGGAAAUAUAAUGAACUUUGUAGUGUAUGCCUACCUUUAGAAAACCUGCAUUAUCUUUUAAUUGACAGAAACAUGAUUUCAUGUAGUAUUUCUUUUUCUAAUUCCACAUAAAUAAUUUAUGAAUACAAUAUCUGUAUUUUAUAAAUGUGGGUGAAGAGAUUAAUAUUCCAUACCAUGUUAUAAUCAUGAAAGAGUAAUGAAGUGGGAUCUAAAAGGUAUGAUUCUAAGUGGUGUUUGACAUAAUGGAACGAUCUUCUCCCACAUUCGUCCAUCAUGGGUUUGCAUUUCUGUCCAUCAGAAAAUGUUUGAAAACAUCCUGUCCUUGGAUGAUAUUCUCUCCACUACACAACACCAAAUAGCAGAUUAAUAUGAAUGUUGGUAAAGGAAAUAUUUGGUUAUUCAAAAAUAAUUCUGAUAUGUGAAAUUUCUUAGCUAAAAAUCAACUUUAAAUAUUAAUCAUUGACAGAAGUUAUUGUGCAUCUUGUCCACUUAUAUUUUAAAAAUUUUUACAAUGCUUGGCAAAGGAAAGAUCCUAAAUAUUUUUAUGACUAUAGAUAAAUCCAAUACAAGGACCUCAGUUCCAUGAUCUGCAAAUUUGUUUAUUUCUAUAAACAAAUACAUCCCCAAAGUUCCAAUCCUGUUUCGCUGUUUCAGCUGGGUGGAUUCAGUUUUUGUUAACUCCUGUUCUGCGGUAAGGAAGGCAGAACUAUGCCAAACAGAAUGACUUAAGCCCAUAUGGAAAAGGACACCUGCAAAACUAGACUUUUCCCUUCAAGCCUCAUAGCAUUUUAAUAACAAACCCAUUGCUGGGAGAUGUCAGCAAGAAUCAUCUGCCUUAUAAAAGCAUCGCUUUUCUCAGAUAAUAAAGGCAGAAGUACUAGGUAUGAAAUGUGCAAGAGAAAUAUUUCCCAUCAAUAACCUUAAUGAAUUAACCAAUCGAUGGGCAGCUAUGUGUGAAGGAAGCUGUUUGGGCAGAGAUGCUUAAUACUAAAAGUGCAGGGCAAGUGCUUGGGCAACUCAGGGCCUGACUUCUCUAAUAACAGGCUUCUAAAUUAGGUUACUUCUUGCUGUGGCUGAAGACACUUUUAAUAACAAGGGGAAAAGAAAGCCUACUGGGUAAACUUUGGGAGCCUCAGAAGGUUUGCUCUGUGGUUUGGCAUCAAGCCUCCUGUUGUAAAAAUGGUAAUAAUUAUAUUUAUUUUUUUCUGCUUUCUCUGCUGAAAAUGUGUGAAAUAAGACUGUCAAAAAGACAUGAUCUAGUGUGAAGAAUAUUAGAGAAUGUAUUUGCAAGAGAGAAAGGAAUAAGAAAAGACAAAGGAACACCUUUUAAUUAGCAAUAUUUUUAAACGCAGCAUCCUCUAGCUCCCAGAAAUUCUGAUGAACAAAUGUGUGUGAACCUGAAAAUAUAUUAUGUUUAUUAGUUAAACAUAGUGCUAGACAAUUUCAUGCAUAUAUAUAAUGUAUUCCAAUUGCUUUCAUCCUCAUUUGUUAAAGUUUUGAUGCAAUAUAUAUUUUAUCAUAUUCUUCCCCUUGCCCCCUCUCCUGCCAGAUCCUUUCCAAUGCUACUCAUAAAACUUCAUACUUUUUCUCUCUUAAAAAAAUAACCAAUCUCAAAACCAAACCAAUCUUGACAAAUGUACACACAUAGACACAAACACACAUAAUACAUAGAUAAAUAUUAAAAUCAUGGCAUCUGUUUUGUGUUAUUUAUCCUGAAUAUGAAAAUGUGUUUGUUAUACUCAGUGCUACUCUGUUGAAGAAAACUUACUAUUCUCUCCAAGCAGCUAUCAAUUGCAAAUAGCUUCUUGAUUAGGCAUGGGUUUUUGUGUCCACUUCCCCUUCUCCAUUCUGGGAUUUUUGUAUUUUUUGAGUUUCUGUACAUCUUAUGCUGGCACUCAUAAUAUUUGUGAGACCCCAUAGUCAUAAGCCAUGUUGAGUUAGGAAAAGGCAGUCAUCCACCAUAUCUGGCUCUUAUAAUCUUCUGCCUCCUUUUACAUAUGUAUCCCUAAUCCUUGAGGGGAAAGAUAUGAGAUGUCACACUAAGUGUUUAGUACUCCAAAAUCUCUCACUGUUUGCACAUUGUACAGUUAUAGUCCUAUGUGAAUUACCAUCUACUACAAGUAGGAACUUUUCUCAUGAAGGUUGCUGAUGUUAUAUGUCACUAGGAGACAUUUUAUUACUAUGUUCAUUUAGAAGUACAUUAACAGUAUGUUUAUUUAUAUAAUAUCUUUUUAAUUUCACACUUCACACAGCUGAAUACCUCAGCAGUACACAUAUCUAUUAAAUAAGACUGAUGCUAUGUAAAAAUUACUCAGAUAUUGUAUCUCAGCAAAUUGUUAUUAAGCACCUAUGAAGGUCACAUAAUAUUGAUAAUGAAAUGUUCUACUUUAGUCAUAUAUGUUUUCUGAAAAUCAGAAGAGGAUAAAACAUUGAAAGGGAUUAUAGGAUUUUAAAAGCUAGUUUGUGGAAUGUGCAGUUACUUGAGGAAAACAAAUGCUGCCUUUCACACAGGAACCUCUUUUGGUAGCAGGAGCAUUUCCUGUGUAUUAGAUAAUUAAAGCAUCCUUGCCCUACAAUGUAAAAUCACUUAAUUGGUAUUGCUUCUGACAUCAUGAUAAAACUCUUGUUUAUUAUGGGUUAGGAACAGAAAAUAAUGUUACAUUAUGCUUCUAAAUGACUCUCCUUUUACCAAGAGUAUUCUUUAUCCCUGAUCCACAUAAUAAUAUUUAUAUCAAAGAUAUUAUCAUCACCUCUAAGGAAGUAUGGGCAGUCAUGAAAAGAAUUGUCACCUACCUAAGCUAAUGGCAAUUUAAUCACAAGGUAAAAUGCUGUAGUCACUCACUACAUUCUGAUGGGAAUGGAACUGACAUCUCAUUUCCCUCAUGAAUUUUAAUGGGAAAUAAACCACUAUUGCCCAAAGUGACUACUGCAGUCUUCCAUGACACUGUAAAAGUUGUGGGUUUAUAAGCUGACAAGUACUUUCUUGUACCUUCUUUCAUAAAGGAAGUGUUCUCAUUCCACAUCUAUUAAAUGUUUAAAACUACAUUCUGAAGGCAACUUUCAUCUCUGUUUCCUCAGCAGUGAUGAUCUAGAUGCUUGUCAGGGCAUAUCAUAGGAGAUGAGUCUUACAUUGGGAGCUCUCCAGGCCAAUUAUCAGGAUUUUUAUCUUGAGGACCUGUCUUCAAAUAUAACCUCUUUCAAGGUUGUCUAGAGGUGGAAAUGGGGGAAAGACUCAGUAAUAUUUCUGUCCAAAUGUUGUAGUCCAUUUUAAAUUAGAGUCAAAAGAGUUGAUAUAUAAUUUCUAUCCAUAAUGCAUACUUCAGAUAUAUAGCUUCCUUUUUCCUUUAAAUGUCUGAAGGCUUUAUUUCACAAGGACAGCAUAGGUAUUCCUAAGUAAGCUUGAAUGUUUCCUAGGUGAAGAUGGGAUUAUUGAAUAAGGUCGACAAAGUUCAAGUUAAAUAUAUGAGCCAAAUGGCAUAGAUUUACAUAAUGCAUUUCCAUAGGUGCUACCUUGAAGGACUUGGGCAGAUUGUGAUCUAGAAAUAGACUGAUAUAGGAUAGUACUCUGAGUCACCUCAUUUGAGAAAACCCAACCUUCCUCUUUUAACGUCUCUAGGCAUUUCUCAAGCAUGUCAGGCAGGUCUCGUUGUCUUUAAUGAUUUGGAAGGAUGCCAGCCUGUCUCUGCCACUCUUGGCUGCUAAAAGGAUCAUGGAGCCACAGUGACAUCUGAGUCCAGAGGAAAUUAAUGGCACAGCUGAGUAUCAUCAGGGUAAUGAUGGCAUCUCAUCACUCUCCUGGUCUAUUAUUUGGGACAGAAAUAUAGCAGGGGAUUUUCUUGGCAAUUCAAUUACAAGAAUUAGAUGAAUAAUGGGGAAAAUGUAGGGGCAACUAGAGGAAUAUUUAGAGAGAAACCCAGAGUGUGUUUAACUUAAUUUUUCUUGUUCAAAAAAUAUAAUCAUGAACAGCAGAAUUUUUCUGUUUUAAAAUAUUUCCUAAACAAUUCAAUUUUCUAAAAAUUAAUCACAGAAAUGAUGAUUUCUGUUAACUGUGUUAGGGUUAGGAUUUCAAGAAGUGAAUCCUUGAACACUACAUUCUGCUGCCUGUCUUCCCUUCCACCUGGGACAAGAUAUCUGUGACCUUUUUUGACCUUAUACAAAUACUGAAAGAAAUUACAUAGCUUCUCACAUUUGUAAUCCAAUUAUUAGCCUUCAAGGAACUAGUAAUAAAUGUAUAGAUGUGUUUCUUAUUCUUCUGCAACACCCUCUGCUUUACUCAGAGGUGUUAUACAAAUUUCAUUACUUUUCUCAUAUAAAAGGUCACGGUAAUUCACAGUGCUACUGAACUGGAUGAUGCUUCUUGAACUGACUUUCCUGUGGUCCAAGCAUGUCUCACCUCCACCAGCUGCCUGAGACUGCUUUGCAAAUAACAUCUCAAACAUGUGAGUCCUUAUCUCAGGUAUACUUUCUGGUAGUAUUGUCUAACACAAGUAAAUUAGCAAAUUCAUCUCUCUGGUUUUCUGUCAGCCUAUGUAUCUCCUUGCCACUGUCUGAAAAUUCCAUACAGCAUAUUGGGUCAUAUUUUCCUCACCUCACCAACUUUUCCUUGAUUCACAAUCUACUUUCUUUCCUACUCAAUGUUAGGUCCUUUUUCUGCACUUAGGCUAAUCUGUGUUGGCCAAAUAUUCUUGGAUGUGUGGCCUUCCCCUAGAGCGUCUUUGACUUACCAGGGGUGACAUAGAAAGCCUUUUGCUCUUCUAGUAGCUAGCAAUUGCCAAUUACUCCCGAGUUAGCAGGCCUAACUCCACUUUCCAUGCUGGGGUUUGGCUUGGCUCAGGCUUGCAACAGGUCUUGUGCAUCAUGUUACAGUCACUGCUAUUUCACAUGAGCACCUAGCUGCCCUGCUGUUUCCAGAAGACAGUUUUCUGGCAGUCAUCUGUAGCUCCUUGCUCUUGCCCACUUUCUACACAAAUUUCUGGAAUGACACCUGAGCUUUGGGAGGAGGGGCUACACUCUAUAUGUUUCAUUUAGGGCUGUUCAUUCUGAAGCCUCUUAUUCUCUCUGCACCUUGGCUAAUUGUGGCUCUCUAUGUGGAUCAUUGUCUACUGCAAAUAGAAGCUUCUCUGAUAAUGGUGGAGGAAUGUAUGUAGAUAGAUCUUAUCAAUCUCUCAUAAACCUUAUAUUUGUGGUCCUGUAUGUUCUAAUACUUUUACUGGUUAAUAAGUAAUAUUCAAAAGAUUAGUACAAGAGAGUGAUCAUACAGCCUUAGAAUCAAUUCUCCCUGACUCUGAGCAUUUCAGAUAUACUUAAGUAAACUCAAGCUGUGUCUCUAUGAUGGUUCUUUGCAAUUGUCAAUUUGACACACUAGACUAGCUUCAGCUGUGAGCAUGCCUUUGAAGGAUUUCUUUUCUUAUUAAUAAUUAAUUAGUUAAGUUUCUUAUACGUGCCUGAAUGGAAGUGUAUGCAUCUCAAGUGUAUACAGAGAAGCCAAAACAGGUAACAGAGUUCUUGGAUCCAAGUUACUGGUGUUUUUAAGUCACCCAAGGUGGAAACAUGAAACAAACCUGAGUCUUCUUGAUGAGUAGCAAGUAUUAAUAUCUGCCGAGCCAUCAAUCCAGCACAAUUUUCUUAUUUAGAAAAAUUGAGUUAGGAUGGCUCAUCCUGAAUAUGGAUAGCACCAUUCCAUGGGCUAGACCCUGGGAUAAAUGAAAAAGAGAGAGGAAGCUGAAUAUUAUCACGAACACAUUAAUUCCUGCCUGUCUGCUCUGGACUGUGGAUGUCACGUGACUAGUUGCUUCAACUUCCUGCCGCCUUGUCUUCUCUGCAAUGAUGGGCUAUAUCUUGCAAAUGUGGGAUAAAUAAACAUGUUCUUUCCUGAGCCGCUUUUGUCAAAGGUUUUU